This 497-nucleotide ribosomal RNA is filed under the name uncultured bacterium. Its description in RNAcentral is "partial 16S ribosomal RNA". It matches the Rfam family "Bacterial small subunit ribosomal RNA", at positions 28 to 507 of the family's 1533-position model. The record is from RNAcentral.
GAUGAACGCUGGCGGCGUGCCUAAUACAUGCAAGUCGAGCGAACGGACGCGAAGCUUGCUUCUCUGAUGUUAGCGGCGGACGGGUGAGUAACACGUGGAUAACCUACCUAUAAGACUGGGAUAACUUCGGGACACCGGAUCUAACACCGGAUAAUCUUUUGCACCGCAUGAUUCAAAAGUAAAAUACGGUCUUGCUGUCUCUUAUAGAUGCAUCCGCGCUGCAUUAGCUAGUUGGUAAGGUAACGGCUUACCAAGGCAACGAUGCAUAGCCGACCUGACAGGGGGAUCGGCCACACGGGAAGUGAGACACGGUCCAGAGUCCUAAGGGAGGCAGCAGAAGGGAAUCUUACGCAAUGGGCGAAAGCAUGACGGAGCAACGCGACGUGAGAGAUGAAGGCCUUGGGAUCGUAAAACUCUGUUAUUAGGGAAGAACAUAUGUGUAAGUAACUGUGCACAUCGUGACGGUACCGAAUCAGAAAGCCACGGCUAACUACGUG